RNAcentral lists this non-coding RNA (23 nucleotides) under Rattus norvegicus (Norway rat). Lineage: Eukaryota; Metazoa; Chordata; Mammalia; Rodentia; Muridae. The record is from RNAcentral.
UGUGCACACAUAUGGAGGCCGUA